GACGGAGGGGGCUAGCGUUGUUCGGAAUUACUGGGCGUAAAGCGCGCGUAGGCGGCGCAUUAAGUCAGAGGUGAAAGCCCGGGGCUCAACCCCGGAAUUGCCUUUGAGACUGGUGUGCUUAGUACGGAAGAGGUGAGUGGAAUUCCCAGUGUAGAGGUGAAAUUCGUAGAUAUUCGGAAGAACACCAGUGGCGAAAGGCGGCUCACUGGCCUGGUAUCGACGCUGAGGUGCGAAAGCGUGGGGAGCAAAACAGGAUUGAGAUACCCGUGUAGUCC
Molecule: ribosomal RNA, 275 nt
Filed under: uncultured bacterium
Lineage: Bacteria
Description: partial 16S ribosomal RNA
Rfam family: Bacterial small subunit ribosomal RNA
Source: RNAcentral